AUAUGGAGUCAUAGGGGAAACACAUAAAAGGUGAAUGAGUCAGGCGUUCGCAUAGAAAAUUCGAAUGCAGCAACAGGAGAAUAGAAGGUGAAUAAGGCAAUAAUGUGAAUGGGUGAAUUCGUGAAUAGCCGAACAGUGUGAGGGAAUAACAGGAGAAAGAACAGUCGAAUGGGAGGAGGAGAAUGGGCGAAAAGGGCGCCAAAGUGACAGGCAGACCGGCAGUGUAAUGGAGGGAGAAAAGGAAGCCCUAGAGCUUAACAAGGAGGUACCAG
This is a non-coding RNA of Pelobates cultripes (western spadefoot toad), 272 nucleotides long. NCBI's taxonomy places the organism in Eukaryota, Metazoa, Chordata, Amphibia, Anura, Pelobatidae. The record is from the annotation of a GenBank genome assembly.